CAAGCACCUGCACUUCUACGCACUGUGGUAUCAGCGCAUUCCACAGCUAUGAUAGAGGAGGAAAGUGAGCCACCCCUCAACUUCCUUGUCAUCCAAAACCUCAAGCGAUACUAAACAUCAAGGAAGGGAUGGAGAGAAUCUUUGUGCAUGCUGUUGUACCACUGGAAGAAAGGAGAAGACGCAAACCAAGGAUAUUCACAGAGCCUUCUGCUCCAAAUGGCUUAAACUUUCCAUAUCUGAAGGAUUAUCUGUCCAUAGAAUAAGAUCACUUACUGAGGCUUUUAUUGGGUCCAUCCACCUUCUGGAUUCAGGCAGGUGAAGACCUUUCUCUUCAGAGCUUUUGUGCUUUUCCACCGGAUCUUUAUGGAACUUGAGGUAUCUCCGAACAUGCUGUGUUCAUCAUGGUACAGCCUUUCCUCAGUAACGACAGAAGCUUGCGUGCUAAGGCUGAGAUUAUGGAUACCUUUAUAAGAAGUGAGCUCCCUGUAAUGGCUCCUUCACAUGUUUCACUCAU
Long non-coding RNA from Pogona vitticeps (central bearded dragon), 514 nucleotides. RefSeq lists it as uncharacterized. NCBI's taxonomy places the organism in Eukaryota, Metazoa, Chordata, Lepidosauria, Squamata, Agamidae. The record is from RefSeq and is a predicted model, not a curated record.